UACAGAGGUCUCAAGCGUUGUUCGGAUUCAUUGGGCGUAAAGGGUGCGUAGGCGGCGCUGUAAGUCGGGUGUGAAAUUUCGAGGCUUAACUUCGAAACUGCAUUCGAUACUGCCGUGCUAGAGGACUGGAGAGGAGACUGGAAUUUACGGUGUAGCGGUGAAAUGCGUAGAUAUCGUAAGGAAGACCAGUGGCGAAGGCGGGUCUCUGGACAGUUCCUGACGCUGAGGCACGAAGGCCAGGGGAGCAAACGGG
Molecule: ribosomal RNA, 253 nt
Filed under: uncultured bacterium
Lineage: Bacteria
Description: partial 16S ribosomal RNA
Rfam family: Bacterial small subunit ribosomal RNA
Source: RNAcentral